UACGAAGGGGGCUAGCGUUGUUCGGAAUUACUGGGCGUAAAGCGCGCGCAGGCGGUCCUUUAAGUCAGGGGUGAAAUCCUGGAGCUCAACUCCAGAACUGCCUUUGAUACUGAAGAUCUUGAGUCCGGGAGAGGUGAGUGGAACUGCGAGUGUAGAGGUGAAAUUCGUAGAUAUUCGCAAGAACACCAGUGGCGAAGGCGGCCUUCUGGACCAAUACUGACGCUCAUGCACGAAAGCGUGGGGAGCAAACAGG
This 253-nucleotide ribosomal RNA is filed under the name uncultured bacterium. RNAcentral's name for it is "partial 16S ribosomal RNA". It matches the Rfam family "Bacterial small subunit ribosomal RNA", at positions 524 to 776 of the family's 1533-position model. The record is from RNAcentral.